GCCGCGUGAGUGAUGAAGGUUUUCGGAUCGUAAAGCUCUGUUGUUAGGGAAGAACAAGUACCGUUCGAAUAGGGCGGUACCUUGACGGUACCUAACCAGAAAGCCACGGNUAACUACGUGCCAGCAGCCGCGGUAAUACGUAGGUGGCAAGCGUUGUCCGGAAUUAUUGGGCGUAAAGGGCUCGCAGGCGGUUUCUUAAGUCUGAUGUGAAAGCCCCCGGCUCAACCGGGGAGGGUCAUUGGAAACUGGGGAACUUGAGUGCAGAAGAGGAGAGUGGAAUUCCACGUGUAGCGGUGAAAUGCGUAGAGAUGUGGAGGAACACCAGUGGCGAAGGCGACUCUCUGGUCUGUAACUGACGCUGAGGAGCGAAAGCGUGGGGAGCGAACAGGAUUAGAUACCCUGGUAGUCCACGCCGUAAACGAUGAGUGCUAAGUGUUAGGGGGUUUCCGCCCCUUAGUGCUGCAGCUAACGCAUUAAGCACUCCGCCUGGGGAGUACGGUCGCAAGACUGAAACUCAAAGGAAUUGACGGGGGCCCGCACAAGCGGUGGAGCAUGUGGUUUAAUUCGAAGCAACGCGAAGAACCUUACCAGGUCUUGACAUCCUCUGACAAUCCUAGAGAUAGGACGUCCCCUUCGGGGGCAAAAUGACAGGUGGUGCAUGGUUGUCGUCAGCUCGUGUCGUGAAAUGUUGGGUUNANUCCCGCACCGAGCGCAACCC
RNAcentral lists this ribosomal RNA (718 nucleotides) under Bacillus subtilis. RNAcentral describes it as "bacterial SSU rRNA". It matches the Rfam family "Bacterial small subunit ribosomal RNA", at positions 396 to 1104 of the family's 1533-position model. The record is from RNAcentral. Lineage: Bacteria; Bacillati; Bacillota; Bacilli; Caryophanales; Bacillaceae.